Molecule: long non-coding RNA, 1034 nt
Filed under: Sinocyclocheilus anshuiensis
Lineage: Eukaryota; Metazoa; Chordata; Actinopteri; Cypriniformes; Cyprinidae
Description: lncRNA (ENSSANG00000044814.1)
Source: RNAcentral
GUUGUACUUUUCUUAAUUUUCUUAAAGUAUCUAUACAUUAUCUAUUCUUUUGUUAGAAUUCCACGAAUGAAAAACACAUUGUUGCAAAGCUUGAUAGAGAGAGAGAGAUGGCAUCUUCGCGUCAGUGAGCGAACGAACCGGUGGAAGGAAUGAAGUCGUCAUUAACUUGCUUGAUUGUUCUGCUGUGCUUUCGACUGUAUCUUACCUUUCAAAACGUCGUGUUAUUAAACGGUAUCUUGUGAUUAUCAGAAUGUCCUGCAAAGCAGGAAAUCUCAUGUGAGAGCCUGCGCACGACUGAGGGGUUUACUUACCCGGUGCCCUUGAACAUUCCAAACUCCGGAUAUUGCGAGUAUGCGUGGUAUAAGAAUGGAACAUGCAUUUUUCAUUCAGAUGGCAAAAGGUUAGGAUUUGUAGUAGCUGGGACACAUGAGACACUGACGGUCAACAGCUGUGAGGACCUGCAGUGGGAGCUUCGCUGUGACAGCAUUCAGUUUCACUGUACUGUCAGUUACACAGGUAAACAUCAUAAAGCAUUAUACCUUAUACAUGCUCUAGAAACUGUUUUGGGACUUUUUUAAUUUGUUGUUUUUCAGUACAUAUAAAGUGUGCAAUUUUGUGUUUUUGUCUAAAGUUAUAGACCCUGAGGGACAAGAUGGCAACCACAAUGGUGGUUUACCUGACUGGGGUGCUGCUUUAAUUGGGAUUGGAACUGGGAUUGGGAUUGUUGGUGCAUUAAUCGCAGUUUGGUUUUACCAUCGAAAUGGUGAAAACACGUCAAAUUACUAAUAUUCGGAAUGAAGUGGUGGUUCUGGACUGUUAACCAUAAGCGGUGAUCUUGUGCUAUUGCCAUUGUCACUUAUCUAGCCUAGCAUUUUGCUGUUUUGGCAGCAUAUCACAGCUUUGUAGAUUCUAGUGCUAGUUUGUCUUCUUUAAAUCUAAAAGCAAUUGUGACACUGUCUUGUGCUACAAGGCAAAACUACUGUAAAGAGGGCACUGACACAAAAAAGAAAAGUUAUAUUUUAUAUAUAUAUAUA